RNAcentral lists this long non-coding RNA (8016 nucleotides) under Carica papaya (papaya). RNAcentral's name for it is "long non-coding RNA (CPAP_LNC004263)". The record is from RNAcentral. Lineage: Eukaryota; Viridiplantae; Streptophyta; Magnoliopsida; Brassicales; Caricaceae.
UUUAAAAUGAAAUGUAUAUUAAAAAUAUUAAAUGCGGAAGCAAAGUCAAAAAUUCGAUUAACAUCCCUUACACUAAAACCAAAAACGUGCUCACAAAUAUAAAAGAUCAAACUACCUAAAGGAGAAAACUUGAAGGUAAAAGCUACGAAUAUGACUAUGGAGUCUUUAGGCGUCCCCUUCGUCGUCCUCCUGCGGAACCGGCUCGGGAACAAUGUCUUCUUGAUAUGAAAUGAUUAAAUAAGGAAUGAGCUACACUAGCCCAGUAAAGACAUCACGAUAUCUCACCGUCACGGAGGUAAAGGUGGGUAGAAAACAUAAAAAGACCAAUGGAGCAUAAUUUACAACAAAUUCUUUAAUCAAUAAUAAAUCCUUCACCAUCCACUUACCUCGGUGAAAUCCAUAAAACAGUAUACGAAAGCAAUAACAUUAUCAUCAUCAUGAAAUUAUAUAUGAACUGUAUAACAUAAUACUUAUCACACCUUUUGUAAUUCAAUCAUUACACAACAUAUUUUCCUCAUUUACCAGCCCACUAGUAUCCAUAGGGAUCCAUAGGGGUCCCGCUACCCGUUAACCCUUAACACUUGAAAUCAGAUUCCAGGGCCGUCCCCAUACCCCGUCCGGUAUGGGCGCCAAAACUACAAACCCCAUUACCCCGUCCGGUAUGGGCACCAAAACACAUAAGGUCUUCAUACCCCGUUCGACAUGAGAGACCACAAUCCCGGUAGGGUUCCCUACGGACCCGGUUCGUCCACCAUCUCCCAGGAUAUCUAGUCAGGCUGACCACAUUAUACAAUUACCCAUUUACAUAAUCUUUCAUUCUCCUUUUCCUCAGUCAGCAUCAUCAAUUCACAUACAAACAAGCAAAACAGUAAUUUAUGCCAAACAGGCAACAUACAGCAUCAGUAUCUCAGUCAUUCAAUCCAUAAUCAAUAAAACAGUAAAAUAUGCACACGAAACUAUAAAAUAAAAACAUCAAACCUCAUACUGCAUUUAAAACUGCAAAAUAGGCCAAAUAACAGUUAACCGACAAAUACACUAGACUCGGGCUCCAGCGACCUUAAGCAAUUUCACACAUUCGUUGAUUCAAGAAAUACCAUUUUAUCAUUAUUGAACUUUAAUACCGUGAUAGGAAAUAGGGUGAGGGGUCCUUACUCGUUUCGGGGUCCGAACACGGCUUCACAGUGCACCUACAGGCUGUCCCUAAUUUUCCCUGAAUUUUUCCCGGAGAACUGAAACGCACUACUGGUACCUGCACGUAUUCCAAAAAAUCGCAAAUUAGGCCCAGGGCCCCUUUUUGGCCAAUAUCGCAAUUCCAGCACGGCGGCUCUGCCGUGCUCCGGCAACGGCACCGCCGCAAACGGCGGCGAUCCACCUCGGUUUGGCUGUUUUCGGCCGAAUUUGGCCACACUUGCAUCGAUUCUUGCGAUAAAACAACCCUAGGGCCCUCGGGGGGCCAAAAAAUUACGGAAAACCGAAGCUUACCGGCGGCGGUGCUCUUGGGUGCGGCGGCUCUCCGGUGAAGUUCGUGUUUUGGUGAUUCGGCUCUGAUCAACCUGUAGAGAAAAGAAUGGUGAUCACGGUGAUAUAAAAAUCGCAUCAAACGGAGGCCGGGAAGGGCCUCAUCGGAGGCAAAAACCGAGAAGGGGCGCGGCGGCGCCGCUGGGUUUCAGUCAUGUUUUCCGGCCGUUUGGCCAGGAUUUUGGCUCCGAUUUGGCCACAGGGGAAAUUAGCGUGGAAAAACGAGUCGGGGGUAUAAAAUUUACCUCGAUCGGCGGUCGGAAAUCUCCCCGGUGCGACGGCGGGUGGCGGCGGCUGGCGUCUCCGGCGUCUGGUUCGUCUUCUCUGGCGAGGGCAGGCGGCUAGGGUUUUUGUGGUCUGGUGUGGGGGUUCUAUUUAUACCCUUUUGCCUUUUGAUCUCAGCCGUCCAUUUUGUUUUAAUCUGGGCCGUCCGUUUUUUGAUUAAAUCUGGGCCGUCCGUACGAUUGCAUCUGGGCCGUCCGUACGCACGCUUGAUCUAGGCCGUCCGAUCGCCCGUAUGCGGAUCGCCAACGUGGCCCGUCCCCGGUCGACGUGGUUUUGCCACGUGGCAGGUCUUGGUUGGCCGGGACUGCUGACUGGGUCUGCUGUGGGGGGUUCUAUUUAUACCUUUUUGCCUUUUGAUCUCAGCCGUCCAUUUUGUUUUAAUAUGGGCCGUCCGUUUUUUGAUUAAAUCUGGGCCGUCCGUGCGAUUGCAUCUGGGCCGUCCGUACGAACGCUUGAUCUGGGCCGUCCGUACGCACGCUUGAUCUGGGCCGUCCGAUCGCGCGUACGCGGAUCGCCAACGUGGCCCGUCCCCGGUCCACGUGGUUUUGCCACGUGGCAGGUCCUGGUUGGCCGUGACUAGCUGACGUGGCCCCUUUUUUUUUUUUUUUUUUUUUUCCUUCUUCAAAUUCCCGGGCGUUACAAUUUAUGGUUAGAUGUGUAUUCCACAACAUUUAUAAUUUUUAAUUUAUGUUUAUGUACACAUGUAUAAAAAUCUAAAGAUGUGAUUGGUGUUCUAGGUUCUUUAUUUUUCAGGUCUAAGUUGGUAAUUGUGUGACUUGUGUUGUGAUGUAUGUAGUUAGUAAUAUUUUAAUUGAUUAAAGUUAUUUUAUGUAUUUUUUUUCUAAUUGUGUCAAUAUAUAAAUAAAGAUUGUGUCUUUUUCUAUUAACAUGUGCUUUUUGAAUGAAAGGCGAUAAUUAAUUAUUUAAUAUGAUAUUAAAGCCAACUUAGGGUUGUUUAUGCAUGAUAAACAAUUUCAUCUAAGUUGGUGUAUGCACUAAUUUUUCGUACAUGCAUUUCUCGCAACAAAAAAACUCUAAUAAUGCCAUACAUAUGCAUCUUUGUAUUAGUAGAAUGCUUAAUUUGAAAUAGUUAAAGGGCCUAAAGACCUAAAACUAGAUAGUUCUAUGGUAGAAUACCAUUAAUUAGGUCAUAAAAAAUCAAAUAUUUGUUAGAAUGAGUAAAAAGAGGGAAGAAGCCUAAGAUGACAUGCCCUAUGGGAAGGUGGCAUGUCAAGAGGAAGACCAUCUUGUUAGUCCUCCUAGCAUGCCCUAGUGAGUGGUGCUUCACUCUUAUUUUGUAAACUAAAUCUAAUAGCAACUAGUUUAUUAUGUUACUAGUCUUAGCAAUUUGUGUGAUAAUACUUUAUUUAACCAAUUAUUUGGUUAUUGAAAAUUUUAAAUUUAGAGAUCUUUCAAAUUAAUUGGUAAUUAAAAUCUUUUGUUUGGAAAGAAUUGUAAGAUAAACGUAGAUUGGGAAUCAAGAUAAUUUAAAAUUAGAGAAGAUUUCAAAAAAAUCAAAUGAAAUCAAACUACACAUUAGUAUUAUCUAUUCUAAUAACUCAUCCAUUUUAUGAACUUAUUCGAUACAACAUAUACUACCACAUACAUGCCACCUUGAUAUUAGCAUAUCACAUCAAGUAACUAUUAAUACCACUACCCUUAACAAGAUUAUAAUAAAAGAUGAUUUUGGUCGAUUCAAAUUUUAAUCCAUGUCUUCUGCUCUUCAGAGUUUCUAGAUUUUAGUAUUAUUUGUAGCGCCCGGAAAGGAGGAGGAAAAAAAAAAAAAAAAAAAAAAAAAAAAAAAAAGGGGGGGGCCACGUCAGCAGCCACGUCAGCAGGCCCGGUCAGCAGUCCCGGCCAACCGGGGCCUGCCACGUGGCAAGAUCGCGUCACUCCGAAAGGAGCCACGUUGGCGAUCCGCGUGGGUGCGAUCCGACGGCCCAGAUCAAUCACGCGAUCGGACGGCCCAGAUUCAAACGCACGGACGGCCCAGAUUCAAUCAAAAACGAACGGCCCAGAUUAAAACGAAACGAACGGCUGUGAUCAAAAGGCAAGGGGUUAUAAAUAGAACCCCCACACCAGACCAAAAAACCCUAGCCGCCAGCCGCUCGCCGGAGAAGACGAACCAGAGGCCGACCGCCGCCACCCGCCGCCACUCGCCGCCGCACCGGGGAAAUUUCCGACCACCGAUCGAGGUAAAUUUCAUACCCCCGACUCGUUUUUCCCCACUGAUUCCUCCUAUGGCCAAAUCGAAGCCGAAAUCCCGGCCAAACGGCCGGAAUACGCGGCCGAAGCCCAGCGGCGCCGCCGCGCCCCCUCUCGGUUUUUGCCUCCGACGAGGCCCUUCCCGGCCUCCGUUCGAUGCAAUUUUUAUAUCACCGUGAUCACCAUUCUUUUCUCUACAGGUUGACCGAAGCCAAAUCACCAAAACACGAACUUCGCCGGAGAGUCGCCGUACCCGAGAGCGCCGCCGCCGGUAAGCUCCGUUUUUUCGUGAUUUUUUGGCCCCCCGAGGGCCCUAGGGUUGUUUUCUGACAAGGACCAAUGCGAGUGUGGCCGAAUUCGGCCAAAAAGGCCGAAAACAGUCAACCCGAGGCGACUCGCCGCCGCCAGCGGCGGCGCCGUCGCCGGAGCACGGCGGAGCCGCCGUGCCGGAGUUGCGAUUUGGGCCGAAAGAGGCCCUGGGCCUAAUUUGGAUUUUUUUUGGAACCCGUGCAGGUACUGUUAGCGUGUUUCAGUUCCCCGGGAAAAAUUCAGGGGAAAAUUAGGGACAGCCUGCAGGCGCACUGUGAAUCGUAUUCGGAUCCCGAAAACAAGUAAGGACCCCUCACCCUAUUUCCUAUCACGGUAUUAAAGUUCAAAAUGAUAAAACAGUAUUUCUUGAAUUAACGCAUGUGUGAAAUUGCUUAAGGUUGCUAAUGGAGCCCGAGUCUAGUGUGAUUGAUGAUUUACUGUUAUUUGGCCUGUUUACAGCUUUAAAUGCAAAAUGAGGUUUGAUGUGUUCAUUUUACAGAUUUGUGUGCAUGUACUACGUUUUUAUUAAUUAUGGGUUGAAUGACUGAAAAACUGAUACUGUAUGUUGUCUGUUUGGUAUGAAUUACGAUUUGCUUGUUUAAAUGUGAAUUGAUGAUGCUGAUUGAGGAAAAGGAAAAAUGAAAGAUUGUGUAAACUGAUAAUUGUAUUAUGGGGGUCAGCCUGACUAGAUAUCCUGGGAGAUGGUGGACGGACCGGGUCCGUAGGGAACCCUACCGGGAUUGUGGUCUCACAUGCCGGACGGGGUAUGGAGAUCUUAUGGUUUUGGCGCCCAUACCGGACGGGGUAUGGGGACGGCCCGUUUCACCCUCAUACCGGACGGGGUAUUGAGGUUUAUGGUUUUGGCGCCCAUACCGGACGGGGUAUGGGGACGGCCCGUUUCACCCUCAUACCAGACGGGGUAUUGAGGUUCAUGGUUUUGGCGCCCAUACCGGACGGGGUAUGGGGACGGCCCUGGAAACUGAUUAUGAAUGUUAAAGGUUAACGGGUAGCGGAACCCCUAUGGACCCCCACGGAUACUAGUAGGCUGGUAAAUGAGAAAAAAAGAUAUGUUGUACAAUGAUUGAAUUACAAGAGGCGUGAUAAGUGUUAUGUUUUACAGCUUAGAUUAUUCAAUGAUUAUGAUAAUGUUAUUGUUUUCUCAUAUUGUUUUCAUAAAUUCCACCAAGGUAAGUGGAUGGUAAAAGUUUUAUUAUUGAUAAAAGGUUUUGUUGUUAAUAAACGAGUUUAUUGUAAAUUAUGCUCCAUUGGUCUUUUUGUGGUUUUCUACCCACCUUUAUCUCCGUGACGGUGAGAUAUCGUGAUGUUCUUACUGGGCUAGUGUAGCUCACUCCUUAAUUAACCAUUUCAGAUCAGGAAGACAUGGUUCCCGAGCCCGUUCCGCAGGAGGACGACGAAGGGGAUGCCUAGAGACUCUGUAGUCAUACGCAUAGUUUAUUUUCGAGUUUUCUUUCUUAGUUAGUUUAACCUUUUAUAUUUUAAGUACGUUUGUUUGGUUUUUCGUGUAAGGGAUGUUAACUGAAAUUUUGAUCUCGCUUCCGCAUUUGAUAUAUUUAAAUACUCAUUUCAUUUUUAUAUUUUCCGGGGUCGUUACAUUAUUCUUAUAUGAGAGUAAAAGUUCGAAGCUUUUAAGUAAGGAAGAAACGCAUGCAAAAGCAAUGGGAAGGAGGUGAAUGGACAAAUCUAGCAGCUAAGUAAAAACUAAAAAUUUUCUUCACAUAUUGUUAAAGAGAAUAUUUUGAUUGAAUCAAAAAGACGAAAAAUACCAUAUAGCAUGAGACAGAGGGAGAGAAGAAAAUAAAGGGUUAACUCAGAAAAGUGAACAAAAAUCUUUUUCCAAUUAUAGCAUUGAGGUUUCAGUUGAAUAACAUGGGAGGUUUUGCUAGUUUAACUCAAAGCUCAUUGUUGGGAGGACUCCAAGUACCUAUGAGUCUGUGAACAAUUUUCUUCUAACUUUUUGAGCUUUAACAGAUUUAUUGAUGAGUGAUGGUUGUGUACUUAGAUUCAUAUGGUUAAUGAAGUGUCAAUAUCAGUAUUAUGUUAUGGUUGUAAAACAUAGGGGAAAUUUGAAAAAAAAAAAAUCCUUCCCAAGCAAGGACUUUAGAUAAUGUGCACGAUCCAUUCUUCGAAGAUGAUGUACUUUUAAAAGUUUAAAAAAUGAUAAAAGAAAAUGUUGUUUGCAUUGCAUGGGGUUUAUUGCACGUUAAGAAAAAUAUAGUUCUUCAUCCAUUUAUUCCAAAUACGAUCAACCAUCUAAAUCCUUUCAUUGCAAAUUUGAUCGAUCAUAUGAUAUUUUGACCAUAUGUUUCUUCAUUCAAGUUUUUAGCACGUUGAGAAGAUAACUAAUUAUCAACUUUGAAUUGUAUAUUUUCGAUUAUAAUCUCAAAGUUUGCAUAAGAACAAAAUGAAUUGACAUUUUUUGUAUGGGAAGAUAAAAUGAAGUUGAUAUGAAUGAAUUUUGUAAUUUAAUCCUUAUGAAUUUGUGUAAAAAAUAUUGUAGAUGACUAUGAAAUUUAUGUAUUUUAAUUAUGUAUUUGUAAUUAUAUAUAUAAUAUUUUAAUGUAUUUUAAAUAAUAAUAUUUAUAUUUAAUAAUAUAAAUUUAGAAUCUUAUACAGGAUCAACAGAUAGCAGAUAUAAGUGAUAAAAAAUUUUAUCAACAGUUAACUGUCUGUAAAAGACUAAUAUAUAUAAAUCGAAAGUCUGUUGAUAUAGAAUAAUAACUUAUACUGACAAUAUAUUACUAUUUGUAUACAUCCUGUGACCUAUUCCGUAGCCAAUAUAAUUAUCGAAACAAACCCAAUAAAAAUCAUGGUGUUCAAGAAAAAGAUAGAAAAAAUCGAACUUUAAAAGAGGGAGACACAACUGAUAAUGUGUGUCUCACACCUUUCCACCUAAGACAUUUUCGACCUUAAUUUCUUUAAGGUCGAUGAUUGUGUGUUUGAUAUCUAAUUACACCUCAAAAAAAUCAAUAACAACUCUCGAAGAUUAUCGAUGUAUAUUAUCAUGUUCGUAAUAGAUGCUUCACACAUUUCUACUUGAGAUUAUUUCCAACAUUUUUCUUUAAAAAUGACAAAUAUGGGUUUUGAAUUUUUAAUUCCACCUCAAAUAAAUUAACAGCAACUCUCUUAAGUUUUCACAAAAAAUAAUUAAAUUUUCAACGAGUCUUUGUCAUCUAAUUACUCGAAGUUGUGAGACACCCUUAUUGUGCCAUUUUGGUCCCGAUUUUGGGAUGUCUUUGCUCAUACUUUUCAAUUAUAAUUCACUCAAUUUUGCUAUAUAUAUAGUUGAAUGAACACCCGAUCAAUCUUGUCAUUACAGUUAUCAAUGAACUAAUAUCUUCUUCUCAGUUGUAAAUUUUUAGUUCUUAUAUGAAUAAAUAAUUUUACAUUCAUUCAACUUAGUCUACAACAUAAUUAAAAUAAAAUUCUCAUAAACAUAACUGAAGGAUAUGAUAUUUUGGUAGUACAUUGUCCAUUAAAUAUAUAUAUAUAUAUAUAUAAUCAAGAAUCUAAAUUUCCAACAAAAUAUCUUGCAUAACUAUGGAAGUAAAUAUCACCUCGAUUAUUAAGGUAUCUUCGCGAAUAUAACCUUUUGAUUCAUUGAGUAGAUCUACUAAUGAAAUAAAUUUUGAAAAACCCCAAGCCUUCCAUGGAGGGUAUCUAAAUGUAUUAGUCACUGAA